UUUGCAAUUUUGCUUCUAAUACUAUUAUAGUUGUAUUUUAAUGAAACAUAAUAGUAUUAAAACGGUUUUCUUCUUUUGAAAAAAUUUAUUGCUAGUCCUGUUUCUAAUCGACUUUACUUGUGUAUUUUAAGCUUUUUUGUUGCUGUGCUUUUUCUGGAGAUUUUAGUUGGAUUGGAAAGCUCCUGUGUAAGGUACCCUUUCCUAAAGAAAAAUUAAAGUAAUUUGUACAAUUAUAACGCGCCGAGCUGUGUUUUAUUUUAUUGUUUCUAAGAAGAUGUAAGAAUACAAUAUUAUCAAUUUUAAUUGGUUUUAUCCAAAUCAAGAUUGUGUACAAUGGGAGUGAGUGAUGUAAUCUUCUAAUGCGUUUGGUGAAAAGAAGGCGAAUCCGUUAUUGUUUUUCUGCCCAAAUUUGAAGCUAUUUAAUAAAUCUUGAUAAAGUUAAAAAACUGUUUUGAUUUGUUUGUUUUUGUUUUAAUUGUUUCCCGUGAGUUUUCGAAAUUCGUUCCAGCAGAUUCUGUGGCUUCUACUGCCGGUAUUUUUACGUGAAAAAAAUA
Molecule: long non-coding RNA, 554 nt
Organism: Hydractinia symbiolongicarpus
Lineage: Eukaryota; Metazoa; Cnidaria; Hydrozoa; Anthoathecata; Hydractiniidae
Exons: 2
Source: RefSeq, a predicted model, not a curated record